CAGGGAACUUCAAGCGCGUAGGUUAAGACUUGCGCUUUUCUUGACUCUUCAACGGUCUUGGAAUAACGGGUGGGUAAGGACGGUCUCCAGCCUGCCGCGGUAACACCGGCGCCUCAAGUGGUAGUCGCUUUUAUUGGGCCUAAAACGUCCGUAGCCGGUCUGGUGCAUUCGUGGGUAAAUCAACCCGCUCAACGGGUUGAAUUCUGCGAGCACGGCCAGACUUGGGACCGGGAGAGUGUGUGGGGUACUCUCAGGGUAGGGGUAAAAUCCUGUCAUCCUGAGAGGACCACCUGUUGCGAAGGCGCCACACUAGAACGGAUCCGACGGUCAGGGACGAAGCCUAGGGGCACGAACCGGAUUAGAUACCCGGGUAGUCCUAGGUGUAAACGCUGUGGACUUGAUGUUGGGAGUGCUCCGAGCACCCUCAGUGUCGAAGCGAAGGUGAUAAGUCCACUGCCUGGGGAGUACGGUCGCAAGGCUGAAACUUAAAGGAAUUGGCGGGGGAGCACUGCAACCUGAGGAUUGUGC
Molecule: ribosomal RNA, 528 nt
Filed under: uncultured marine euryarchaeote
Lineage: Archaea; Methanobacteriati; Methanobacteriota
Description: bacterial SSU rRNA
Rfam family: Archaeal small subunit ribosomal RNA
Source: RNAcentral